UUGGGUGGGAGGAGGAGCGAGGUAGCGGGGGCGUGGCUUAGGGGAGAGGAACCAAACUGAUUGGCCUGGGGGAGGUGGGGCGGGGCUGUGGCUGGGAGGAGUGGGGCGGGCACUCUAACGCGACCCAGCUGGACGAGUCGGGGCCGCCAAUGAGACGGAGCGAUUGGCUCUUUCUAAGAGAGCAGGGAGGAGGGGCGGGGCGGGGCGUCAAGGGAGGCGGGACCGGUUACUACUAAUUGUGUUCGGCAGCACUGGUAGCCAGGGGAAGGCGGGGCUAGAUACGAUAGAGAGAGACCUUACUGAACUGAAAAAAGUGCGGGCGGGGUAGAGGGAGGAGGGGGACACAUCCAAGCUAUUUAAAGACGCCCGACUGGCCUGGAGGGGCGGGGCCACCAUGAGAGAGGCCGUCCUGAUUGGGCUGAGAAAGGGGCGGAGAGAAACAAAACAGAUUGCACGCCCUCACCUAAAACACCGCUAGGCAGGACCUGGUGGGGAGCAGCAUUGCUUGGAAGAGACAGGGCUGCAGAAAGUAGAAACAGUCCAGAUGAGACUGCACUGGGGCGGGAACUAGAGAUGGAGGACUUUUCCGCGCAAGGGGGACAGGCUGGACUGAAAGAGGACACGGGAAGAACAAAGACUUAGACUCGAAGCCCUCGGAUGGUGGCCCUUGCAUGCUUCAGUUCAUGAUGUUGGAGACUAUUUCCCCACCCUUGCGGAAAAACCUUCUCUCUGUGCCAUACAGCUACUGCCAGGGAUGGAGGAUGGCUGGAAUUGGCAACUAAAGACUGCCCUCCUACCUUCUUCAGUGUGUCCUCAGCAAUAUGGAGUUAAAACCAGUCUUGCUCUGUCCCCAGGCUGGAGUGCAGUGGCAUGAUCUUGGCUCACUGCAACCUCCGCCUCACGGGUUCCAGCGAUUCUCCUGCCUCAGUCUCCUGAGUAGCUGGGACUACAGGUAUGUACUAUGAAUUUCUUUAAUCAAGGAGUGGAAUAUUCAUGAAGAUUCCUAGAAAAAGGAGAUUUUUGAGAACUGUGGUGCCACCCACUUUUACACCAAAUAUGGGUGUUCCUGUAACCGUCCUGGUGCUGGUGGGUGUGUGUUUAUGUUAAUGAGCAUAUAACGAGGUCCUAGGUGAGACCUAGGUCAUAUGUAGGGCCUUGUUGGGUCCAAUGUGUCUUAGCCAGGUUGGUCCACACCUAGGGUUUUCAAGAGUCUUAUCAGCCCCCACCUGCUGCAACUAUUUCAACAGUUUCCUUUUGCUAGUCAUGUGAAACUGCUGCCUGGAAUUUUCUAUUCUCCUGUGACUACCCUGUGUUAUU
Pan troglodytes (chimpanzee) is the source of this 1317-nucleotide long non-coding RNA. RefSeq lists it as uncharacterized. NCBI's taxonomy places the organism in Eukaryota, Metazoa, Chordata, Mammalia, Primates, Hominidae. The transcript is spliced from 4 exons. The record is from RefSeq and is a predicted model, not a curated record.